Molecule: long non-coding RNA, 517 nt
Filed under: Anas platyrhynchos platyrhynchos (common mallard)
Lineage: Eukaryota; Metazoa; Chordata; Aves; Anseriformes; Anatidae
Description: lncRNA (ENSAPLG00000024057.1)
Source: RNAcentral
CCUCGGCACCCAGUCCUCAUCGCCUCCUCCGUCCCCACAGCCCGACGUGCCGCUGGUCUUCCUCUCCACGCACAAAUCCCAGCUGGACGGGCUGCUGCUCUCCUUCCUCUUCUUCUCCAACGGCCUGGGGGUGCCCAGGGUGACAGUGGAUAGCUUGAACUGCAGCCCUUGCCUCCGGGCCUUGCUUCGCUGCCUGGGGGGGGUUUUCCUGCCUGUGGGGAUGGAGCAGGCAUCGAGUGGGCAGGACGGAGGGCUCCCAGCUGCUGUGCUUGCCUCGUACGUCGAGGAGGUGCUGAGGAGCCGCCAGCCUCUGCUGAUCUUCCUGGAGGAGCCCUGCGCCCCGCGGUGCCUUUCAGCUACUGCCCAGGAGUGGCUGGCCCCGGUGCUCCGAGCCGUGCGGGACGGCGCCGUCCCCGAUGUCCUCGUGGUCCCCGUGGGCAUCGCCUACGACCUGGCCCCCGACAGCCUCCAGGGCAGCGGAGCGGUGAGCGGCCCCGAGCCCACUCCUGCCCUGGGA